UUCUAAAACUACCUUAAGAAUGUACCAUAUGCACAGAUAAAUCUUACAAAAUUGAAGUUGAGUUCAAGGUAGUCUUUAUAAAGCCCGUGCUUAAGGAUUUGUGCUCAUGCUUAAGAAUUUUACUUCGGAAAUGUUCGGGAUUCCCUAGAAAUAAGAUUAAUCUGGCCAAUGACAUUUACAAUGUACGAGCAAAACAGGAAGAGAACAUGUGACAAAUAAAUAGUAUAUAUACAUAUAUUUUAGUAUCUUAAUUCUAAUAAAAGAAACACAAUGUCCAAUAAAAGAAUAGUAUAUUCCGAUCUUGACAAACAAGUAUUUUUGGAGAUUUUAAAAAAAUAUAAACAUGUUAUCGAAGCAAAAGGUGCAAGCUCCUCCUCAUUAAAAGAAAAAUCAGAGGCUUGGGCACUAAUUAUGGAAGAAUACAAUAAUUCUUCUUUAAUUUCUACUAAG
Camponotus floridanus (Florida carpenter ant) is the source of this 450-nucleotide long non-coding RNA. RefSeq lists it as uncharacterized. The record is from RefSeq and is a predicted model, not a curated record. The transcript has 2 exons. Lineage: Eukaryota; Metazoa; Arthropoda; Insecta; Hymenoptera; Formicidae.